This 67-nucleotide transfer RNA is filed under the name Hemigaleus microstoma (sicklefin weasel shark). RNAcentral describes it as "tRNA-Ser". Lineage: Eukaryota; Metazoa; Chordata; Chondrichthyes; Carcharhiniformes; Hemigaleidae. The record is from RNAcentral.
AAGAGAGGUCUGGGACACGAAGAUCUGCUAUUUCUUCUCAUCAUGGUUCAAAUCCAUGGCUCACUUG